UACAGAGAGUGCAAACGUUGUUCGGAAUUACUGGGCUUAAAGCGCACGUAGGUGGCGUCGUAAGUGUCAGGUGAAAUCCCACGGCUCACCCGUGGAACUGCCUGGCAGACUGCGAUGCUCGAGUGUGGUAGGGGAGAGCGGAACUCUUGGUGGAGCGGUGAAAUGCGUAGAUAUCAAGAGGAACACCGGUGGCGAAGGCGGCUCUCUGGUCCACAACUGACACUGAGGUGCGAAAGCUAGGGGAGCAAACGGG
This 253-nucleotide ribosomal RNA is filed under the name uncultured bacterium. Its description in RNAcentral is "partial 16S ribosomal RNA". It matches the Rfam family "Bacterial small subunit ribosomal RNA", at positions 524 to 776 of the family's 1533-position model. The record is from RNAcentral.